UGCAGUCGAGCGGACAGAAGGGAGCUUGCUCCCGGAUGUUAGCGGCGGACGGGUGAGUAACACGUGGGUAACCUGCCUGUAAGACUGGGAUAACUCCGGGAAACCGGAGCUAAUACCGGAUAGUUCCUUGAACCGCAUGGUUCAAGGAUGAAAGACGGUUUCGGCUGUCACUUACAGAUGGACCCGCGGCGCAUUAGCUAGUUGGUGGGGUAAUGGCUCACCAAGGCGACGAUGCGUAGCCGACCUGAGAGGGUGAUCGGCCACACUGGGACUGAGACACGGCCCAGACUACUACGGGAGGCAGCAGUAGGGAAUCUUCCGCAAUGGACGAAAGUCUGACGGAGCAACGCCGCGUGAGUGAUGAAGGUUUUCGGAUCGUAAAGCUCUGUUGUUAGGGAAGAACAAGUGCGAGAGUAACUGCUCGCACCUUGACGGUACCUAACCAGAAAGCCACGGCUAACUACGUGCCAGCAGCCGCGGUAAUACGUAGGUGGCAAGCGUUGUCCGGAAUUAUUGGGCGUAAAGGGCUCGCAGGCGGUUUCUUAAGUCUGAUGUGAAAGCCCCCGGCUCAACCGGGGAGGGUCAUUGGAAACUGGGAAACUUGAGUGCAGAAGAGGAGAGUGGAAUUCCACGUGUAGCGGUGAAAUGCGUAGAGAUGUGGAGGAACACCAGUGGCGAAGGCGACUCUCUGGUCUGUAACUGACGCUGAGGAGCGAAAGCGUGGGGAGCGAACAGGAUUAGAUACCCUGGUAGUCCACGCCGUAAACGAUGAGUGCUAAGUGUUAGGGGGUUUCCGCCCCUUAGUGCUGCAGCUAACGCAUUAAGCACUCCGCCUGGGGAGUACGGUCGCAAGACUGAAACUCAAAGGAAUUGACGGGGCCCGCACAAGCGGUGGAGCAUGUGGUUUAAUUCGAAGCACGC
This 921-nucleotide ribosomal RNA is filed under the name Bacillus sp. (in: firmicutes). RNAcentral describes it as "bacterial SSU rRNA". It matches the Rfam family "Bacterial small subunit ribosomal RNA", at positions 56 to 962 of the family's 1533-position model. The record is from RNAcentral. Lineage: Bacteria; Bacillati; Bacillota; Bacilli; Caryophanales; Bacillaceae.